UGCCAAUUUCUUCUUCUUCUUUUUUGUUUGUUUUUGUUUU
This 40-nucleotide small RNA is filed under the name Arabidopsis thaliana (thale cress). RNAcentral describes it as "ATSL121110". The record is from RNAcentral. Lineage: Eukaryota; Viridiplantae; Streptophyta; Magnoliopsida; Brassicales; Brassicaceae.